Molecule: long non-coding RNA, 214 nt
Organism: Ctenocephalides felis (cat flea)
Lineage: Eukaryota; Metazoa; Arthropoda; Insecta; Siphonaptera; Pulicidae
Exons: 3
Source: RefSeq, a predicted model, not a curated record
AGAACCAGAAGAACAAUCUGCAACUCCAAGGACAAAGCCAAGAGAUGGAAGCCUAAACACCUUGAAAAAGAUUUUUGCAGCACCCCUAAGAUUGUCAAGUGCAGGUUAAAAGUCACCUAUUCUGACACCAGUUUUCCGAAAAGAAGUCCUUGAUGGUAGCUGCAAAUUGCCGCAGAAUGCAAUGAUAAGGCGUAGGAGUGCCUUAACACCCAGA